UUAGCGGCGGACGGGUGAGUAACACGUGGGUAACCUGCCUGUAAGACUGGGAUAACUCCGGGAAACCGGGGCUAAUACCGGAUGCUUGUUUGAACCGCAUGGUUCAAACAUAAAAGGUGGCUUCGGCUACCACUUACAGAUGGACCCGCGGCGCAUUAGCUAGUUGGUGAGGUAAUGGCUCACCAAGGCGACGAUGCGUAGCCGACCUGAGAGGGUGAUCGGCCACACUGGGACUGAGACACGGCCCAGACUCCUACGGGAGGCAGCAGUAGGGAAUCUUCCGCAAUGGACGAAAGUCUGACGGAGCAACGCCGCGUGAGUGAUGAAGGUUUUCGGAUCGUAAAGCUCUGUUGUUAGGGAAGAACAAGUACCGUUCGAAUAGGGCGGUACCUUGACGGUACCUAACCAGAAAGCCACGGCUAACUACGUGCCAGCAGCCGCGGUAAUACGUAGGUGGCAAGCGUUGUCCGGAAUUAUUGGGCGUAAAGGGCUCGCAGGCGGUUUCUUAAGUCUGAUGUGAAAGCCCCCGGCUCAACCGGGGAGGGUCAUUGGAAACUGGGGAACUUGAGUGCAGAAGAGGAGAGUGGAAUUCCACGUGUAGCGGUGAAAUGCGUAGAGAUGUGGAGGAACACCAGUGGCGAAGGCGACUCUCUGGUCUGUAACUGACGCUGAGGAGCGAAAGCGUGGGGAGCGAACAGGAUUAGAUACCCUGGUAGUCCACGCCGUAAACGAUGAGUGCUAAGUGUUAGGGGGUUUCCGCCCCUUAGUGCUGCAGCUAACGCAUUAAGCACUCCGCCUGGGGAGUACGGUCGCAAGACUGAAACUCAAAGGAAUUGACGGGGGCCCGCACAAGCGGUGGAGCAUG
This 865-nucleotide ribosomal RNA is filed under the name Bacillus subtilis. Its description in RNAcentral is "bacterial SSU rRNA". It matches the Rfam family "Bacterial small subunit ribosomal RNA", at positions 92 to 941 of the family's 1533-position model. The record is from RNAcentral. Lineage: Bacteria; Bacillati; Bacillota; Bacilli; Caryophanales; Bacillaceae.